Molecule: long non-coding RNA, 1014 nt
Organism: Tarenaya hassleriana
Lineage: Eukaryota; Viridiplantae; Streptophyta; Magnoliopsida; Brassicales; Cleomaceae
Exons: 4
Source: RefSeq, a predicted model, not a curated record
UGUAGGAACACAUUAAGGGUUUGUCUUGAACCAGCGACAUGCUUACUGAUACCCAGCAAAAAGGUCCAAAGACACUGACAUCUGCUCCAGAUGCUCUACUGUUUGCUGGAAUUUCGACAAACAUCUGCCCUGUGGAUGAUGUUGAUGCUCGGACAAUCUUUGUAAGUAAUGUAAUAAAUUGUACGUAUCGUAUUCGUGGCUGAGAUAAAUCUUGUGUGUCUUUGCCUUGUUUCCUGUUCUUGUUCUUUCUGUGCUAGUUUAGAACUCUAGGUAGUUUUCACUUCCAUUCUUCUUUUUUCUGUACAAAGGUUCUUAUUCCGUAUGACUGGUUUUUAUACAUUCCUUGAGGUAGGUGGUUUAAAUCACUCUCUUGUGCGUUGCAAUAUGCAUUUUUGUAUGAAAAAUCUGUCUUUUUACGGGAUGCUAUCCCGUGAUUCUUGGAGAUUGACUUCUGAUUUCACCGUAGGUUGUAGAUUUCUAUGACUAUUAUUGUAAAGUUAUGGUUAUUCUGCUGGAACAUCAAUAUCUCCUUAGGUGGUAAAAUUCCUAAAGUAACAAUGCCCAACGUCGAGCAACUGGUUGCUAGAGAUGCGAAAGGUAGAGUACUGAUGGGAUUAAUCCCUAAGCAGGUUCAUUGGGUAGGAUUGUAAUCAACAUUUUCCAAUUUAAAGAUGGAACUGACCGUUGUAAGGAUGCUCAAGAAUCUGUCGUGAACGGUUCCCCUGUUUCUGAAGAGUUUAAGUUACAGGUGAUCAAAGAAGAAGCUAGCGGAAGAGAAAAAAAUUGUUGUGUGUUUUUUUUCUAGGCCACAGUUGAGAAACAGAAUUCAGAUAUCAAUAUUUUAUCACUGUUAUUUUGAAACGUGGUGUCUUUUUUUUUGCCAAUUUGCGAUUGCGUCGCUAGUACUUUCUCUGUUUUAUUCUUGAUUGGUUGUUUUCUUUGGACUGCUCCACUUCGGGUGGAGUUAUAUAUUGGACAUUGAAUAGGAGGACAGAAAACAUGACGAUUUCUUGA